AGGUCAGCACUUUUGUCGAAAUGGACGCUGGUAGACCAAGAUUUUCUGACGACUCUUAAUCAGCGGGUCCUAGGUUCGAACCCUAGUGCGCCCACCA
This 97-nucleotide transfer RNA is filed under the name Methylobacterium sp. R2-1. RNAcentral's name for it is "tRNA-Lys". Lineage: Bacteria; Pseudomonadati; Pseudomonadota; Alphaproteobacteria; Hyphomicrobiales; Methylobacteriaceae. The record is from RNAcentral.